RNAcentral lists this ribosomal RNA (409 nucleotides) under uncultured soil bacterium. RNAcentral describes it as "bacterial SSU rRNA". It matches the Rfam family "Bacterial small subunit ribosomal RNA", at positions 26 to 424 of the family's 1533-position model. The record is from RNAcentral.
AGAUUGAACGCUGGCGGCGUGCCUAACACAUGCAAGUCGAGCGGUAACAGGUGUAGCAAUACAUGCUGACGAGCGGCGGACGGGUGAGUAACGCUUGGGAAUCUGCCUAUCAGGUGGGGGACCGAACCCGGGGAACUCGGGCUAAUACCGCAUACGAUCUAAGGAUAGAAAGGCCGGGGACCGACAAGGCCUGGCGCUGAUAGAUGAGCCCAAGUCGGAUUAGCUAGGUUGGUAGGGUAACGGCCUACAAGGCGACGAUCCGUAACUGGUCUGAGAGGACGACCAGUCACACCGGAACUGAGACACGGUCCGGACUCCGUACGGGAGGCAGCAGGUGGGGGAAUAUUGGACAAGUGGGGGCAACCCGUGAUCCAGCGACGCCGCGGUGGUGAAGAAGGCCUGGCGGGUU